GUGAACGCUGGCGGUAGGCCUAACACAUGCAAGUCGAACGGCAGCACAGUAAGAGUUUGCUCUUACGGGUGGCGAGUGGCGGACGGGUGAGGAAUACAUCGGAAUCUACUUUUUCGUGGGGGAUAACGUAGGGAAACUUACGCUAAUACCGCAUACGACCUACGGGUGAAAGCAGGGGAUCUUCGGACCUUGCGCGAUUGAAUGAGCCGAUGUCGGAUUAGCUAGUUGGCGGGGUAAAGGCCCACCAAGGCGACGAUCCGUAGCUGGUCUGAGAGGAUGAUCAGCCACACUGGAACUGAGACACGGUCCAGACUCCUACGGGAGGCAGCAGUGGGGAAUAUUGGACAAUGGGCGCAAGCCUGAUCCAGCCAUACCGCGUGGGUGAAGAAGGCCUUCGGGUUGUAAAGCCCUUUUGUUGGGAAAGAAAAGCAGCAGGUUAAUACCCCGCUGUUCUGACGGUACCCAAAGAAUAAGCACCGGCUAACUUCGUG
This 491-nucleotide ribosomal RNA is filed under the name uncultured bacterium. RNAcentral's name for it is "partial 16S ribosomal RNA". It matches the Rfam family "Bacterial small subunit ribosomal RNA", at positions 29 to 507 of the family's 1533-position model. The record is from RNAcentral.